UGAGUACGAGAUGCUACGGCAUCGAAGCAGUCUAUGUCAUACUUCCAAGAAAAGCUUGCACUGUCAUAAACAAAGAAUGCCUGUACCAUAACCGACACAGGUGGGUAGGUAGAGUAUACUAAGGGGCGCGAGAUAACUCUCUCUAAGGAACUCGGCAAAAUGACUCCGUAACUUCGGGAGAAGGAGUGCCUUAUUUCUAAGGUUGCAAUAACAAGAUCCAAGCAACUGUUUACCAAAAACACAGGUCUCCGCUAAGUCGUAAGACGAUGUAUGGGGGCUGACGCCUGCCCAGUGCCAGAAGGUUAAAGAAGUUGGUUAGCAUUAGCGAAGCUGAUAACUGAAGCCCUGGUGAACGGCGGCCGUAACGAUAACGGUCCUAAGGUAGCGAAAUUCCUUGUCGGGUAAGUUCCGACCCGCACGAAAGGCGUAAUGAUUUGGAUACUGUCUCGGAGAGGGGCUCGGUGAAAUAGACUUGUCUGUGAAGAUGCGGACUACCUGCACCUGGACAGAAAGACCCUAUGAAGCUUUACUGUAACUUGAGAUUGAAAUUGGACUUUAUUUGCGCAGUAUAGGUGGGAGGCGUUGAGAAUAAUCUUGCGGGAUUGUUGGAGCCAUCAGUGAGAUACCACUCUUGUAAUGUUAGAUUUCUAACUUUGUAUCAUUAUCUGGUCAAAGAACAGUUUCAGGCGGGCAGUUUGACUGGGGCGGUCGCCUCCCAAAGGGUAACGGAGGCGCACAAAGGUUUCCUCUGAACGGGUAGAAAUCGUAUCUAGAGUGUAAAGGCAUAAGGAAGCUUGACUGUGAGACCUACAAGUCGAGCAGGGACGAAAGUCGGUCUUAGUGAUCUGACGGUGCUGAGUGGAAAGGCCGUCACUCAACGGAUAAAACUUACUCUAGGGAUAACAGGCUGAUCUCCCCCAAGAGUUCACAUCGACGGGGAGGUUUGGCACCUCGAUGUCGGCUCAUCGCAUCCUGGGGCGGUAGUCCGUCCCAAGGGUUGGGCUGUUCGCCCAUGAAAGCGGUACGCGAGCUGGGUUCAGAACGUCGUGAGACAGUUCGGUCCAUAUCCGGUGUAGGCGUUAGAAUAUUGAGAGGAGCCUUCUCUAGUACGAGAGGACCGAGAAGGACAUACCUCUGGUGUACCAGUUAUCGUGCCAACGGUAAACGCUGGGUAGCUAUGUAUGGAGUGGAUAACCGCUGAAAGCAUCUAAGUGGGAAGCCCACCUCAAGAUAAGUAUUCUCAUC
RNAcentral lists this ribosomal RNA (1245 nucleotides) under metagenome. RNAcentral's name for it is "bacterial LSU rRNA". It matches the Rfam family "Bacterial large subunit ribosomal RNA", at positions 1564 to 2818 of the family's 2925-position model. The record is from RNAcentral.